CGGAGCAACGCCGCGUGAGUGAUGAAGGUUUUCGGAUCGUAAAACUCUGUUGUUAGGGAAGAACAAGUACCGGAGUAACUGCCGGUACCUUGACGGUACCUAACCAGAAAGCCACGGCUAACUACGUGCCAGCAGCCGCGGUAAUACGUAGGUGGCAAGCGUUGUCCGGAAUUAUUGGGCGUAAAGCGCGCGCAGGUGGUCUCUUAAGUCUGAUGUGAAAGCCCCCGGCUCAACCGGGGAGGGUCAUUGGAAACUGGGAGACUUGAGUGCAGGAGAGAAGAGUGGAAUUCCACGUGUAGCGGUGAAAUGCGUAGAGAUGUGGAGGAACACCAGUGGCGAAGGCGACUCUUUGGCCUGUAACUGACACUGAGGCGCGAAAGCGUGGGGAGCAAACAGGAUUAGAUACCCUGGUAGUCCACGCCGUAAACGAUGAGUGCUAAGUGUUAGAGGGUUUCCGCCCUUUAGUGCUGCAGCAAACGCAUUAAGCAC
This 489-nucleotide ribosomal RNA is filed under the name Bacillus sp. (in: firmicutes). RNAcentral describes it as "bacterial SSU rRNA". It matches the Rfam family "Bacterial small subunit ribosomal RNA", at positions 387 to 867 of the family's 1533-position model. Lineage: Bacteria; Bacillati; Bacillota; Bacilli; Caryophanales; Bacillaceae. The record is from RNAcentral.